CAUCAUCAGGAGCAAGAAAUCGUACUGACUUAUUGUAGAAAUUGAUAUGAACUUGAAUUCCAACCAGCUCAUACCUAGAAUGACAUCAAGAUUACUUAGUGGCAGACAAAUUAAUUCCAUACCAAAGUCUAUACCAUAGAUUGAUAGAGGAUAAUUCAAGCAGAUUAAAGAAGUAGUCACCGACCCAUUAGUUGGAGUAUCGAUAACUAGUCCACUACUCAAAAUAAACACUACAUGCCCCAAU
RNAcentral lists this long non-coding RNA (244 nucleotides) under Lathyrus oleraceus (garden pea). RNAcentral's name for it is "Pisum sativum (pea) long non-coding RNA (PSAT_LNC018164)". Lineage: Eukaryota; Viridiplantae; Streptophyta; Magnoliopsida; Fabales; Fabaceae. The record is from RNAcentral.